CUCCAGAGGCUCGCAAGAUGGAAUCCCGAACUCCGGGAUUCCUGCAAAACAGGCCUACGUCACUCCCACAAUUGUGCCACAGGAGCCUUCUCCCGGAAAACUGAAGAACCUUGUGAGGUUAAUCCUCACAUAACAUCGUUUAAAGCGUCCGGGGCCUCGAGCUAACCAUUGAGGUGAUGUGGGCUAUGCGUGUUGGUUUACUCUCGUACUCCUAAGAAUUAUUAUUUGAGGGGGUUAGACGUAGGGAUUAGCGGCUGUGCAACGUACCUUUCACGAGAUGUGGCCUCAGUUCCUCCACGGCGGCCAUUACACAUUCGUCGAGCUUCGGGUCUGAUCGGCGACACACCUUGAGGAACGGAGCUGCAACACGCAUGCGUAGAGUGAGAAUGAAGACGAGUCAGUGUAUGCGUAAAUAGAUAAUGACGUCAUAUAACAGUAAUAAUCAUCUCUGUCUGGUGUCGAAGUUAAGAAUGCGUGGAGCUUUGCCUCCUCUAGACUGGGGCCUGCCUCGUCCAUCCAGUGGUGAGCUACUAGCCUAGUAUUAAAAUAUCCUGGGUUCGACCCAAACCUGUGUCAUUAAUAUUAAAAUAAAACAAUAUAAAUUCUGUCGGUGUGACGAUAAUCGACUAGAG
Non-coding RNA from Zootermopsis nevadensis, 632 nucleotides. Lineage: Eukaryota; Metazoa; Arthropoda; Insecta; Blattodea; Termopsidae. The record is from RefSeq and is a predicted model, not a curated record.